RNAcentral lists this ribosomal RNA (406 nucleotides) under uncultured bacterium. Its description in RNAcentral is "partial 16S ribosomal RNA". It matches the Rfam family "Bacterial small subunit ribosomal RNA", at positions 30 to 526 of the family's 1533-position model. The record is from RNAcentral.
AUUGAACGCUGGCGGCAGGCCUAACACAUGCAAGUCGAGCGCGCGGCGGACGGGUGAGUAAUGUCUGGGAAACUGCCUGAUGGAGGGGGAUAACUAAUGGAAACGGUAGCUAAUACCGCAUACCAUCAGAUGUGCCCAGAUGGGAUUAGCUAGGUGGUGGGGUAACGGCUCACCAAGGCGACGAUCCCUAGCUGGUCUGAGAGGAUGACCAGCCACACUGGAACUGAGACACGGUCCAGACUCCUACGGGAGGCAGCAGUGGGGAAUAUUGGACAAUGGGCGAAAGCCUGAUGCAGCCAUGCCGCGUGUGUGAUGAAGGCCUUCGGGUUGUAAAGUACUUUCAGCGGGGAGGCGUUACCCGCAGAAUAAGCACCGGCUAACUCCGUGCCAGCAGCCGCGGUAAUUC